GCUUGGGUGGCUCGGUCGGUUGAGCAUCUGACUUCAGCUCAGAUCACGAUCUCAGGGUCCGUGGGUUCGAGCCCCGCGUCGGGCU
Molecule: transfer RNA, 85 nt
Filed under: Felis catus (domestic cat)
Lineage: Eukaryota; Metazoa; Chordata; Mammalia; Carnivora; Felidae
Rfam family: tRNA
About the family: Transfer RNA (tRNA) molecules are approximately 80 nucleotides in length. Their secondary structure includes four short double-helical elements and three loops (D, anti-codon, and T loops).
Source: Rfam by way of RNAcentral